Long non-coding RNA from Antechinus flavipes (yellow-footed antechinus), 587 nucleotides. RefSeq lists it as uncharacterized. NCBI's taxonomy places the organism in Eukaryota, Metazoa, Chordata, Mammalia, Dasyuromorphia, Dasyuridae. The transcript has 2 exons. The record is from RefSeq and is a predicted model, not a curated record.
AAACAACGAAGCCGAACCCUAAAACCAAGCCUGCCCUCGGAAAAGAAGACAGAUGCCUGUUACAGAAAAAAAGAAAAUUGCGGAGGAGGUGGGGAAAAGUUAUCCACUGCAUCUUGGGAUCAAAUCAUCUUGACUUUUAUCCUGCUACUGGACUUUGAUGACUGAGGGGGAGUGACUCUGAAGACUGCUCAGCUCUGUUGACAUCCAAUUGAUGUGCAAGUCAGGACAUCACUGGGUGAUGUCAUUGGUCCUCUUUGAGAGCAAAAAAUGAAGAACAACAACACUAGCAAGGGGAAAGGCACUCAGAAUUUUCAGGACAUCAAGCAACUUCUUUCCCAAGGACAUACUCUCCACAAGGAUGCCAGAAAAGUCUCCAGCUUUUAUUCACCUAUUACCAUUUUGAGGUUCUCCCCACAUGCCUUGUUACAGGAAACAAGUCUAGUUCUACUCCCAGUUUUCCUUUCCCCAACUUAAUAACCCUGGAAGAGUUUUUAUGACUUGUGCCAUUGCUAUGGCACGUUUCUCAUUCUAUGUGUUGUUCCAAUGAUUUCCAAUACAGAAAUUAUCAUUAAAUUUACCCCAAAUGA